Canis lupus familiaris (dog) is the source of this 951-nucleotide long non-coding RNA. RefSeq lists it as uncharacterized. The transcript is spliced from 2 exons. The record is from RefSeq and is a predicted model, not a curated record. NCBI's taxonomy places the organism in Eukaryota, Metazoa, Chordata, Mammalia, Carnivora, Canidae.
CCAAUGAGAGACUUACAACCCAGCCAAUGAGAGGUCAGGGUCCUUUCAGGUCCUAAGCGCUCCAAUGGAUUUUCCUUUCAAGGGUUCUCACACCUUCCCUCUUUCCUCUAUGAAAGAGCAGCUUUCUUUGUUCCCUGGACUUGCCUCUGGUUUGGCUGUAGCUUGCUUGUCCCAAAUGGCAACUCUGGUAUUCCUGAACAGACCCAUUUUGUUGUUAAAAGAACGGACAGUUUUAAGAUUAAUAGCCCUUGGUGAUCAGAAGUGGGAUCCAGAGAAGAUUCCCCUCCCCACCCCCCAACCAACAACUCCAAGGCUGGUGAACAAACAGGGACUUGUACCUACACAACCAGUUGAGCUCACUGCAUCCUGCCAUCCCUGGAGUCUGAAGGUAUUUUUCAUCUAUACCAGACAACCUCAAACAUUAAAGACUGAGCCAAAACAAGCCCCCUCCCUCCCAAAAAAAGAAGAAUUCAGGAAACAAAGAUGCAAAAGAUGUAAGGUACAAAAGAAAAAAAAACAAUUAUAGUAAUUUUUAGAAAGAUUAAGAUCAAAAGGAACACCCAGAGAACAAGAAAUAGCUCUUGGAAAAUACAAUGGUUAAAAUAAAUUUAGUAGGAGGGAUGGAGGAUAAAUUCAUGAAAAUCUCUUGAAAAGUAGAACAAAAAGACAGAGAGCUGGAAAAUAAGAAGGUCAAAUAUACUAAAGAAGUUUCAGUGGGAGAGCCCAAAGAAAAUUGAGAGGAUAGUAUCAAUAAACAAAUACAAGAAACAUUUUCAGCGCUGGGGCUGUAAAUUACCUGUUUGAAAGGAUCCAGUGUAUCAGAAAGAAGAAUGAAAAUAGACCUACAGCAAGGUACUCAGUCUUGCAUUGUCAAAAUGUCAAAACUGGGGAGAUGAUACCAUCAGUGUAUGCAGCAGAGGAAUAAAGUCACAUACAAAUACCAGCAAUGAA